CCUACGGGUGUCUGCAGUCGAGACUCAUUCACAAUGGGGGAAACCCUGAUGGUGCGACGCCGCGUGGGGAAAUGAAGGUCUUCGGAUUGUAAACUCCUUUCAUGUGGGAGCAAAUUAAUAAUUUAGUACCACAAGAGGAAGAGACUGCUAACUAUGUGCCAGCAGCCGCGGUACUACGGAGGUCUCAAGCGUUGUUCGGAAUCACUGGGCGUAAAGCGUGCGUAGGCUGUGUCGUAAGUCGUGUGUGAAAGGCGCGGACUCAACCCGCGGACGGCACCUGAGACUGCGAGGCUAGAGUAAUGGAGGGGGAACUAGAAUUCUAGGUGUAGCAGUGAAAUGCGGAGAGAGGGGGAGGAACACUGGAGGCGAAGGCGGGUUCCGGGACAUUAACUGACGCUGAGGCACGAAGGCCAGGGGAGCGAAAGGGAUGAGAUACCCGAGUAGUC
This 446-nucleotide ribosomal RNA is filed under the name uncultured bacterium. RNAcentral describes it as "partial 16S ribosomal RNA". It matches the Rfam family "Bacterial small subunit ribosomal RNA", at positions 338 to 795 of the family's 1533-position model. The record is from RNAcentral.